This 379-nucleotide unclassified non-coding RNA is filed under the name uncultured Verrucomicrobiaceae bacterium. RNAcentral's name for it is "contains 16S-23S intergenic spacer region". Lineage: Bacteria; Pseudomonadati; Verrucomicrobiota; Verrucomicrobiia; Verrucomicrobiales; Verrucomicrobiaceae. The record is from RNAcentral.
UCCCAGUUAAUCUGGGCAGUCUGAUUUGAGUGCUCGGAAUGAACCGGUGGCAACAAAUCAUAAGGGUUGCGCUCGUUGCGGGACUUAACCCAACAUCUCACGACACGAGCUGACGACAGCCAUGCAGCACCUGUGUAAAGCGCGUAUUUCUACGCUGCCCGGCUUUCACCGGGGUUACAAUACAUGUCAAGCCCUGGUAAGGUUCUUCGCGUUGCAUCGAAUUAAGCCACAUACUCCACCGCUUGUGCGGGUCCCCGUCAAUUUCUUUGAGUUUUAGUCUUGCGACCGUACUACCCAGGCGGCACGUUUAUCGCGUUAGCUUCGGCACGGAAGGGGUUGCCUCCCACACCAAACGUGCACCGUUUACAGCUAGGACUAC